This 1503-nucleotide long non-coding RNA is filed under the name Rattus norvegicus (Norway rat). RNAcentral's name for it is "long non-coding RNA NONRATT021276". Lineage: Eukaryota; Metazoa; Chordata; Mammalia; Rodentia; Muridae. The record is from RNAcentral.
AAACAUCCCAUGAACACAUUUUGACAUGAGGAAGUCCUUUCUGUCAACCCCAGUAGGUGACACUGUGUUGAGAUAUUUGAUCACUAUCUUGGAAAUGAUUGCUUUCCAAUGUUGGCUAGCCUUAAACACUACCUGUGUUAACAUUGACCAGACCAUGGUGUUAUCUAAACUUUUGUAACUGUGCAAUAACUUACUCUUUACCCUAUAUGUCCCAGGGUCAAGUGACUUAGACCACCUUCAAUAGUGUUAUAACUCUAAGGACCCUUUUUCUACACAGAGUUUCAAAUAUAGAAAAAGUGCUUUGGAAAAAAAAAUCUGAAUUCUCCCUCUAAUUACAUUAGGCCUAAUCGUUUUCUCUACUAAUUGAUGUGUUUUCUCCAUAUUUUCCCUAAAGUUCCCUUUUUUUAAAAAAAAAUAAAAAUUCCAGGCCCAGAAUUUGGGGUCAGGCUGAUGCAGUAAUGGACAGUAUAAAUCCAUGAUAGCUUUUUGACAGCUUAUGAUUAAUUCAUGUCUAAAAGCUUCAAAGUUAAAUGAGAUGAUGGAAGCCAUUCUAAGAAGUUAUAUCUAAUUGAUUAAUAAUGUGCUCUGAGGGUGUUUGUUGCUUUAUUGUAUUUAGAAGACCAAGCAGGAUGGUGUGUGGCUCAGGCAAGGAUGACCAAUAACCUCUCAGCUUUCAGUACAAAGAUAAUUAGGAAAACUUAGAACGUGUCUUAAUGAGUUUAAAUCUUCAACUCGCCUGUGCUGUAAACAGGGAUGCUUUUGUUUCAAGGAAAGGAAACGUUGCUAUGAAAGUAGAAAAGACUGUAUAUUUACACGUGAUGUCCAGUUCUGAUGAUGUUAUAGUCAUCUAUCCCCUGAGCUAAACUAUAAGUAAUAAUGUGUAAUCAACCGCCGCUGUGAAAUGGAUGACGACCAACUAAUUUAUCAGCCAAAAGUUAAAAGGCUCUAUGUCUACCAAAGGCUUCUCGUAAGAUUUUUAUGACAGUUUGUCACAGGUCAAAGGUUUCUGAAUAAUGCUUGAGGGGAAACUUAUCUAAAUAGAGGCAGUAAAGCUAGACACUGGACGAGGUGUUUGUACUUCAAAUGGGACACGUGCAUGGGAAUCUAAGUUUAGUGUAUCACGGCUGCACAUCGCACACCCCUGGCAAGGUCAAGUCAGCGCCAGGGCUGUUGAAACGCUUAUUAAACUGUUUGCACUCACCCCCUGCAUCUGCUGCUCUCAGAGCCACAGAGGAGCCCACUAGGCUCCUCUGACUCACAAAAAUCCCAUGUAGGAACACAUGACAUUUUGUUCUCCUUUUAACACUUCCCCAUCAAAAGGACCAAGCAAGUUUUCACUCAUUAGACUUCUUUAAAUAUAGUACCCAGACACUUUCCAGGUCCGAAUGGAUACGGCAAUGAACCACUAGACAAAUCUUUUUCCUUAUGAAGUUGGCAACCUGUUUUGAUUUAUUUCAAAUUACACUCCUCUUCUUGUUGUUGCUGCUGCUGCUGCUGUUGUUG